GGCAGUGUCGUGUAGUGGUUUAAGUGUUGGACUAUGAAUCUGGAGACCAGGGUUCGAUUCCCAGCUUGGCCA
Non-coding RNA from Phrynosoma platyrhinos (Desert horned lizard), 72 nucleotides. The record is from the annotation of a GenBank genome assembly. Lineage: Eukaryota; Metazoa; Chordata; Lepidosauria; Squamata; Phrynosomatidae.